RNAcentral lists this ribosomal RNA (252 nucleotides) under uncultured bacterium. RNAcentral describes it as "partial 16S ribosomal RNA". It matches the Rfam family "Bacterial small subunit ribosomal RNA", at positions 524 to 776 of the family's 1533-position model. The record is from RNAcentral.
GACAGAGGUCUCGAGCGUUAGGCGGAAUCACUGGGCUUAAAGCGUGUGUAGGCGGAUGCUAAGUACCUUGUGAAAUCCCACAGCUUAACUGUGGAACUGCUUGGUAUACUGCCAGUCUUGAGCCAGCUAGGGGCUACCGGAACAAAUGGUGGAGCGGUGAAAUGCGUAGAUAUCAUUUGGAACGCCAAUGGUGAAAACAGGUAGCUGGGGCUGUGCUGACGCUGAGACACGAAAGCCAGGGGAGCAAACGGG